RNAcentral lists this ribosomal RNA (119 nucleotides) under Pteropus alecto (black flying fox). Lineage: Eukaryota; Metazoa; Chordata; Mammalia; Chiroptera; Pteropodidae. The record is from RNAcentral.
GUCUAUGGCCAUGCCAUCCUGAACAAGCCUGAUCCCAUCUGUUCUCGGAAGCUAAGCAGGGUCAGGCCUGGUUAGUACUUGGAUGGGAGAUCACCUAGGAAGACCAGGUGCUGUAGGCA